Molecule: ribosomal RNA, 343 nt
Filed under: uncultured Planctomycetota bacterium
Lineage: Bacteria; Pseudomonadati; Planctomycetota
Description: bacterial SSU rRNA
Rfam family: Bacterial small subunit ribosomal RNA
Source: RNAcentral
AACGAACGUUGGCGGCGUGGUUAAGGCAUGCAAGUCGCACGAGAAAUCUCGGCUUCGGUCGGGAGAGUACAGUGGCGAAAGGGUGAGGACAUCGUGGAUAACCUACCCAAGAGUGGGGAAUAACCCUUCUAACGGAGGGCUAAUACCGCAUUCGCCCUCGAGGCCGCAUGGCUUUGAGGGGAAAGACGGGGAUCCUUAGGGACCUGUCGCUCAUGGCGGGGUUCACGACCCAUCAGCUAGUUGGUGAGGUAACGGCCCACCAAGGCUCUGACGGGUACCCGGGCUGAGAGGCUGACCGGGCACACUGGAACUGAGACACUGUCCAGACACCUACGGGAGGCAG